This 349-nucleotide ribosomal RNA is filed under the name uncultured bacterium. Its description in RNAcentral is "partial 16S ribosomal RNA". It matches the Rfam family "Bacterial small subunit ribosomal RNA", at positions 338 to 698 of the family's 1533-position model. The record is from RNAcentral.
CCUACGGGUGGCAGCAGUCGAGAAUCAUUCACAAUGGGGGAAACCCUGAUGGUGCGACGCCGCGUGGGGGAAUGAAGGUCUUCGGAUUGUAAACCCCUGUCAUGUGGGAGCAAAUUAAAAAGAUAGUACCACAAGAGGAAGAGACGGCUAACUCUGUGCCAGCAGCCGCGGCAAUACAGAGGUCUCAAGCGGUGUUCGGAAUCAAUGGGCGUAAGGGGUGCGGAGGCGGGUUCGUAAGUCGUGUGUGAAAGACGCGGGGUCAACCCGCGUACAGCACAUGAUACUGCGAGACUAGAGUAAUGGAGGGGGAACCGGAAUUCUCGGUGUAGCAGUGAAAUGCGUAGAUAUC